UACAGAGGGGGCAAGCGUUGUUCGGAAUUACUGGGCGUAAAGGGCGCGUAGGCGGCCACCUAAGUCAGACGUGAAAUCCCUCGGCUCAACCGGGGAACUGCGUCUGAUACUGGGCGGCUUGAAUUCGGGAGAGGGAUGCGGAAUUCCAGGUGUAGCGGUGAAAUGCGUAGAUAUCUGGAGGAACACCGGUGGCGAAGGCGGCAUCCUGGACCAACACUGACGCUGAGGAGCGAAAGCCAGGGGAGCAAACGGG
RNAcentral lists this ribosomal RNA (253 nucleotides) under uncultured bacterium. RNAcentral describes it as "partial 16S ribosomal RNA". It matches the Rfam family "Bacterial small subunit ribosomal RNA", at positions 524 to 776 of the family's 1533-position model. The record is from RNAcentral.